AGUGUACAUUGUUCAUCACGUACUAUCGGCUUCUUCCAUGUUGGGGUAUCCAAGAUCUUGUGGUAUCUGACCGCCCAUAUAUUCUGUUCAGAAACAUAUUUCAGUUCUAUGCAAGCAGUACAUGAUAUUUGCAAACUCUAGUAAUAACGGAAGCAGUGAGCAACCUCUUGGUAUUUUACCUCAUCAAAUCCAUGGUUCCCUAGGACACUUUUCACAGGACACUUGUGGGCCACUCCUUAGACAGUUUUGCACGAUUUUCUGCAGCAUU
Long non-coding RNA from Rosa chinensis, 268 nucleotides. RefSeq lists it as uncharacterized. The record is from RefSeq and is a predicted model, not a curated record. NCBI's taxonomy places the organism in Eukaryota, Viridiplantae, Streptophyta, Magnoliopsida, Rosales, Rosaceae. The transcript has 2 exons.